This 251-nucleotide long non-coding RNA is filed under the name Lynx canadensis (Canada lynx). RNAcentral's name for it is "lncRNA (ENSLCNG00005017000.1)". The record is from RNAcentral. Lineage: Eukaryota; Metazoa; Chordata; Mammalia; Carnivora; Felidae.
GUGGGCGGGAUCUUCUGGCGGGUUGGAGCAAACGGCCCCAGGGCGCUGCGGGAGCUCCUGCGUUCGACUUGUUCCAAGUAGAGUAGAGAGGUACUACCUGUACCGAAGGAGGCGUAGCUCUGCUUUGCUUGCACAGACGCUUCCAGAGUGGAGGAAAGAAUGGCUGUUGAAAAUCCACAAGGCUCCUGCAAGACUGUGAAUCAAGGUUGAGACCAAGAAAUUAUUUCUGAAAAAGGAUAUUUAUGGAGUAG